GUAUUAGGUUGGUGCAAAAGUAAUUGCAGUUUUUGCCGUUACUUUCAUGGCAAAAACUGCAAUUA
This 65-nucleotide microRNA precursor is filed under the name Aotus nancymaae (Ma's night monkey). RNAcentral describes it as "miRNA (ENSANAG00000008929.1)". The record is from RNAcentral. Lineage: Eukaryota; Metazoa; Chordata; Mammalia; Primates; Aotidae.